Molecule: ribosomal RNA, 406 nt
Filed under: uncultured bacterium
Lineage: Bacteria
Description: partial 16S ribosomal RNA
Rfam family: Bacterial small subunit ribosomal RNA
Source: RNAcentral
AUUGAACGCUGGCGGCAGGCCUAACACAUGCAAGUCGAGCGAGCGGCGGACGGGUGAGUAAUGUCUGGGAAACUGCCCGCUGGAGGGGGAUAACUACUGGAAACGGUAGCUAAUACCGCAUACCAUCAGAUGUGCCCAGAUGGGAUUAGCUAGUCGGUGGGGUAACGGCUCACCUAGGCGACGAUCCCUAGCUGGUCUGAGAGGAUGCCCAGCCACACUGGAACUGAGACACGGUCCAGACUCCUACGUGAGGCAGCAGGGGGGAAUAUUGCACAAUGGGCGCAAGCCUGAUGCAGCCAUGCCGCGUGUAUGAAGAAGGCCUUCGGGUGGUAAAGUACUUUCAGCGAGGAGGCGUUACUCGAAGAAGAAGCACCGGCUAACUCCGUGCCAGCAGCCGCGGUAAUAC